RNAcentral lists this ribosomal RNA (405 nucleotides) under uncultured bacterium. RNAcentral describes it as "bacterial SSU rRNA". It matches the Rfam family "Bacterial small subunit ribosomal RNA", at positions 370 to 772 of the family's 1533-position model. The record is from RNAcentral.
AACGGACGAGAGUCUGAACCAGCCAAAUCGCGUGAAGGAAGACUGCCCUACGGGUUGUAAACUUCUUUUGUACAGGAAUAAAAGACAUUACGUGUAAUGUAUUGCAUGUACUUUACGAAUAAGCAUCGGCUAACUCCGUGCCAGCAGCCGCGGUAAUACGGAGGAUGCGAGCGUUAUCCGGAUUUAUNGGGUUUAAAGGGUNCGUAGGUGGUUUGAUAAGUCAGCGGUGAAAGUUUGCAGCUUAACUGUAAAAAUGCCGUUGAAACUGUCGGACUUGAGUGUAAAUGAGGUAGGCGGAAUGCGUGGUGUAGCGGUGAAAUGCAUAGAUAUCACGCAGAACUCCGAUUGCGAAGGCAGCUUACUAAGCUACAACUGACACUGAGGCACGAAAGCGUGGGGAGCAAA